GCCUGGCUGGCUCAGCUGGUGAAGCAUGCAACUCUUGAUCUCAGAGUCGUGAGUUCAAGCCCCACGUUGGGCA
This 73-nucleotide transfer RNA is filed under the name Felis catus (domestic cat). It matches the Rfam family "tRNA". From Rfam's summary of the family: Transfer RNA (tRNA) molecules are approximately 80 nucleotides in length. Their secondary structure includes four short double-helical elements and three loops (D, anti-codon, and T loops). Further hydrogen bonds mediate the characteristic L-shaped molecular structure. tRNAs have two regions of fundamental functional importance: the anti-codon, which is responsible for specific mRNA codon recognition, and the 3' end, to which the tRNAs corresponding amino acid is attached (by aminoacyl-tRNA synthetases). tRNAs cope with the degeneracy of the genetic code in two manners: having more than one tRNA (with a specific anti-codon) for a particular amino acid; and 'wobble' base-pairing, i.e. permitting non-standard base-pairing at the 3rd anti-codon position. RNAcentral also lists the same sequence under 2 other names. The record is from Rfam by way of RNAcentral. Lineage: Eukaryota; Metazoa; Chordata; Mammalia; Carnivora; Felidae.